GACGAACGCUGGCGGCGCGCCUAACACAUGCAAGUCGAACGAGCGAGAGAGAGCUUGCUUUCUCGAGCGAGCGGCGAACGGGUGAGUAACGCGUGAGGAACCUGCCUCAAAGAGGGGGACAACAGUUGGAAACGACUGCUAAUACCGCAUAAGCCCACAGCUCGGCAUCGAGCAGAGGGAAAAGGAGCAAUCCGCUUUGAGAUGGCCUCGCGUCCGAUUAGCUGGUUGGUGAGGUAACGGCCCACCAAGGCGACGAUCGGUAGCCGGACUGAGAGGUUGAACGGCCACAUUGGGACUGAGACACGGCCCAGACUCCUACGGGAGGCAGCAGUGGGGAAUAUUGCACAAUGGGGGAAACCCUGAUGCAGCGACGCCGCGUGGAGGAAGAAGGUCUUCGGGAUUGGUAAACUCCUGUUGUUGAGGAAGAUAAUGACGGUACUCAACAAGGAAGUGACGGCUAACUACGUG
This 468-nucleotide ribosomal RNA is filed under the name uncultured bacterium. RNAcentral's name for it is "bacterial SSU rRNA". It matches the Rfam family "Bacterial small subunit ribosomal RNA", at positions 28 to 507 of the family's 1533-position model. The record is from RNAcentral.